UUUCCUCUCAACUCAUUCUCUUCACACACCUCUUCAACUCAAAAUCCUAGCUCAUGAUCCAGAAUAACAAAGCAAGUACAUGUCUCAAAGCUCGGACGUGAACCACCAUUCUAACCCAACCCGUUACCUAUUAGUUUCGGUCAAAACAAGGUCUUCGAUUGCAAAAAUAGAUUUAGGGUUCCGACUAGAGAGAUUUAGUAAGGAGCGAUACUGGAGUAAAUGCGCAUAAGUCGAAGACGUGAGAGGAAUCUGGAAAAGCUUAGGCUUCUUCCAAAGGAAAUGCAUAGAACCCCAAUUGGCCAAUUCUUCUUUCUCUAUCUAAUUCGUUCUGAUUUACCUUCAAAAUCUGAUUGGUUGAUAUGUCUGCUGGUGGUCAACUUGAAGCCAACAAGAAAGCUAUGAAGAUCCAGUGAUAUGGCUGAAGCAAUUGAUUUGACUGGAUAUGGAGGUGUUUUGAAGAUGCUUGUGAAGUGAAGAGUGCUAAAAAUCUGAUACUAUUGCUCCUUCAGAGAGUCUUCCUCUUGUUGAUGGUUGGGGAGGUUGCCAAAAUAACUUGCAAGUCAAAUUAUGCCUCUGGUAGCACUGGUUCUCCGCCAGAUAUUCCACCAGAGUAAUUACCUCAUAGCUUAUCGUGUCUAAU
RNAcentral lists this long non-coding RNA (640 nucleotides) under Helianthus annuus (common sunflower). Its description in RNAcentral is "hypothetical non coding rna". The record is from RNAcentral. Lineage: Eukaryota; Viridiplantae; Streptophyta; Magnoliopsida; Asterales; Asteraceae.